GCCGCAGGAAGCGCCGGAGCCGCUUCCGCCGCGGCGGCACCAUGAGCCUGGAGGCAAUCCGCUACCGGCGCGGCUCGCUCGCCGUGCUCAACCAGCGGCUGCUGCCCGCGGAGCUGCGCUACGAGGCCGUGGGCAGCGUGGAGCGCGCCUGGGAGGCCAUCCGCGCCAUGGAGGUGCGGGGCGCCCCGGCCAUCGCGCUCGUGGGCUGCCUCAGCCCGGCCGUGGAGCU
Molecule: long non-coding RNA, 229 nt
Organism: Nothoprocta perdicaria
Lineage: Eukaryota; Metazoa; Chordata; Aves; Tinamiformes; Tinamidae
Exons: 2
Source: RefSeq, a predicted model, not a curated record